This 253-nucleotide ribosomal RNA is filed under the name uncultured bacterium. Its description in RNAcentral is "partial 16S ribosomal RNA". It matches the Rfam family "Archaeal small subunit ribosomal RNA", at positions 474 to 727 of the family's 1478-position model. The record is from RNAcentral.
UACCAGCACCCCGAGUGGUCGGGACGAUUAUUGGGCCUAAAGCAUCCGUAGCCGGCCUUACAAGUCCUCCGUUAAAUCCAGCUGCUUAACAGAUGGGCUGCGGAGGAUACUAUAAGACUAGGAGGCAGGAGAGGCAAGCGGUACUCAGUGGGUAGGGGUAAAAUCCGUUGAUCCAUUGAAGACCACCAGUGGCGAAGGCGGCUCACUGGCCCGAUACUGACGCUGAGGCACGAAAGCGUGGGGAGCAAACAGG